UGGUGCUUGCAUCAUGAUUUACAUUUGAGUGAGUGGCGAACUGGUGAGUAACACGUGGGAAACCUGCCCAGAAGCGGGGGAUAACACCUGGAAACAGAUGCUAAUACCGCAUAACAACUUGGACCGCAUGGUCCGAGCUUGAAAGAUGGCUUCGGCUAUCACUUUUGGAUGGUCCCGCGGCGUAUUAGCUAGAUGGUGGGGUAACGGCUCACCAUGGCAAUGAUACGUAGCCGACCUGAGAGGGUAAUCGGCCACAUUGGGACUGAGACACGGCCCAAACUCCUACGGGAGGCAGCAGUAGGGAAUCUUCCACAAUGGACGAAAGUCUGAUGGAGCAACGCCGCGUGAGUGAAGAAGGGUUUCGGCUCGUAAAACUCUGUUGUUAAAGAAGAACAUAUCUGAGAGUAACUGUUCAGGUAUUGACGGUAUUUAACCAGAAAGCCACGGCUAACUACGUGCCAGCAGCCGCGGUAAUACGUAGGUGGCAAGCGUUGUCCGGGAUUUAUUGGGCGUAAAGCGAGCGCAGGCGGUUUUUUAAGUCUGAUGUGAAAGCCUUUCGGCUCAACCGAAGAAGUGCAUCGGAAACUGGGAAACUUGAGUGCAGAAGAGGACAGUGGAACUCCAUGUGUAGCGGUGAAAUGCGUAGAUAUAUGGAAGAACACCAGUGGCGAAGGCGGCUGUCUGGUCUGUAACUGACGCUGAGGCUCGAAAGUAUGGGUAGCAAACAGGAUUAGAUACCCUGGUAGUCCAUACCGUAAACGAUGAAUGCUAAGUGUUGGAGGGUUUCCGCCCUUCAGUGCUGCAGCUAACGCAUUAAGCAUUCCGCCUGGGGAGUACGGCCGCAAGGCUGAAACUCAAAGGAAUUGACGGGGGCCCGCACAAGCGGUGGAGCAUGUGGUUUAAUUCGAAGCUACGCGAAGAACCUUACCAGGUCUUGACAUACUAUGCAAAUCUAAGAGAUUAGACGUUCCCUUCGGGGACAUGGAUACAGGUGGUGCAUGGUUGUCGUCAGCUCGUGUCGUGAGAUGUUGGGUUAAGUCCCGCAACGAGCGCAACCCUUAUUAUCAGUUGCCAGCAUUAAGUUGGGCACUCUGGUGAGACUGCCGGUGACAAACCGGAGGAAGGUGGGGAUGACGUCAAAUCAUCAUGCCCCUUAUGACCUGGGCUACACACGUGCUACAAUGGAUGGUACAACGAGUUGCGAACUCGCGAGAGUAAGCUAAUCUCUUAAAGCCAUUCUCAGUUCGGAUUGUAGGCUGCAACUCGCCUACAUGAAGUCGGAAUCGCUAGUAAUCGCGGAUCAGCAUGCCGCGGUGAAUACGUUCCCGGGCCUUGUACACACCGCCCGUCACACCAUGAGAGUUUGUAACACCCAAAGUCGGUGGGGUAA
This 1390-nucleotide ribosomal RNA is filed under the name Lactiplantibacillus plantarum subsp. plantarum. RNAcentral's name for it is "bacterial SSU rRNA". It matches the Rfam family "Bacterial small subunit ribosomal RNA", at positions 62 to 1438 of the family's 1533-position model. Lineage: Bacteria; Bacillati; Bacillota; Bacilli; Lactobacillales; Lactobacillaceae. The record is from RNAcentral.